CGGGUGAGUAACACAUUAGUAAUCUGCCCCAAAGUCGUGAAUAACCCACCGAAAGGUGGAAUAAUACACGAUGUGCUCAUUAGUCGAAAGAUUAAUGCGUAAAGAUUUAUCGCUUUGGGAGGAGCUUAUGGCUUAUCAGCUAGUUGGUGGGGUAAUGGCCUACCAAGGCUACGACGAGUAGCGGGUGUGAGAGCACGACCCGCCUCACGGGGACUGAGACACUGCCCUGACUCC
RNAcentral lists this ribosomal RNA (234 nucleotides) under uncultured bacterium. Its description in RNAcentral is "partial 16S ribosomal RNA". It matches the Rfam family "Bacterial small subunit ribosomal RNA", at positions 103 to 339 of the family's 1533-position model. The record is from RNAcentral.